RNAcentral lists this ribosomal RNA (131 nucleotides) under uncultured bacterium. RNAcentral's name for it is "partial 23S ribosomal RNA". It matches the Rfam family "Bacterial large subunit ribosomal RNA", at positions 1 to 131 of the family's 2925-position model. The record is from RNAcentral.
UUUUGUUUGUGAAGGGCACACGGUGGAUGCCUGGGCAUCUUGGGCCGAUGAAGGACGUGGAAGGCUGCGUUAAGCCUCGGGGAGUUGCCAAUCGAGCGUUGAUCCGAGGAUGUCCGAAUGGGGAAACCCGG